GACGAACGCUGGCGGCGUGCCUAAUACAUGCAAGUCGAACGCACAGUUUAUACCGUAGCUUGCUACACCAUAAACUGUGAGUUGCGAACGGGUGAGUAACGCGUAGGUAACCUGCCUGGUAGCGGGGGAUAACUAUUGGAAACGAUAGCUAAUACCGCAUAAUAUUGAUUAUUGCAUGAUAAUUGAUUGAAAGAUGCUAUUGCAUCACUACCAGAUGGACCUGCGUUGUAUUAGCUAGUAGGUGAGGUAACGGCUCACCUAGGCGACGAUACAUAGCCGACCUGAGAGGGUGAUCGGCCACACUGGGACGGAGACCCGGCCCAGACUCCUACGGGAGGCAGCAGGAGGGAAUCUUCGGGAAUGGACGAAAGUCUGACCGAGCAACGCCGCGGGAGUGAAGAAGGUUGUCGGAUCGGAAAGCUCGGUUGUAAGGGAAGAACGGGUGUGAGAGUGGAAAGUUCACACUGUGACGGUAUCUUACCAGAAAGGGACGGCUAACUACGUG
Molecule: ribosomal RNA, 505 nt
Filed under: uncultured bacterium
Lineage: Bacteria
Description: partial 16S ribosomal RNA
Rfam family: Bacterial small subunit ribosomal RNA
Source: RNAcentral